This 483-nucleotide ribosomal RNA is filed under the name uncultured bacterium. RNAcentral's name for it is "partial 16S ribosomal RNA". It matches the Rfam family "Bacterial small subunit ribosomal RNA", at positions 30 to 507 of the family's 1533-position model. The record is from RNAcentral.
UUGAACGCUGGCGGCAGGCCUAACACAUGCAAGUCGAGCGGAUGAAGGGAGCUUGCUCCUGGAUUCAGCGGCGGACGGGUGAGUAAUGCCUAGGAAUCUGCCUGGUAGUGGGGGAUAACGUCCGGAAACGGGCGCUAAUACCGCAUACGUCCUGAGGGAGAAAGUGGGGGAUCUUCGGACCUCACGCUAUCAGAUGAGCCUAGGUCGGAUUAGCUAGUUGGUGGGGUAAAGGCCUACCAAGGCGACGAUCCGUAACUGGUCUGAGAGGAUGAUCAGUCACACUGGAACUGAGACACGGUCCAGACUCCUACGGGAGGCAGCAGUGGGGAAUAUUGGACAAUGGGCAAAAGCCUGAUCCAGCCAUGCCGCGUGUGUGAAGAAGGUCUUCGGAUUGUAAAGCACUUUAAGUUGGGAGGAAGGGCAGUAAGUUAAUACCUUGCUGUUUUGACGUUACCAACAGAAUAAGCACCGGCUAACUUCGUG